UUAAGCGACUAAGCGUACACGGUGGAUGCCCUGGCAGUCAGAGGCGAUGAAGGACGUGCUAAUCUGCGAAAAGCGCCGGCGAGGUGAUAUGAACCUUUGACCCGGCGAUGUCCGAAUGGGGAAACCCAGUGUGUUUCGACACACUAUCGUUAACUGAAUACAUAGGUUAACGAGGCGAACCGGGGGAACUGAAACAUCUAAGUACCCCGAGGAAAAGAAAUCAACCGAGAUUCCCCCAGUAGCGGCGAGCGAACGGGGAGCAGCCCAGAGUCUGAAUCAGCUUGUGUGUUAGUGGAACGGUCUGGAAAGUCCGGCGAUACAGGGUGACAGCCCCGUACACGAAAAUGCACAGGUUGUGAACUCGAAGAGUAGGGCGGGACACGUGGUAUCCUGUCUGAAUAUGGGGGGACCAUCCUCCAAGGCUAAAUACUCCUGACUGACCGAUAGUGAACCAGUACCGUGAGGGAAAGGCGAAAAGAACCCCGGCGAGGGGAGUGAAAAAGAACCUGAAACCGUGUACGUACAAGCAGUGGGAGCACCUUCGUGGUGUGACUGCGUACCUUUUGUAUAAUGGGUCAGCGACUUAUAUUCUGUAGCAAGGUUAACCGUAUAGGGGAGCCGAAGGGAAACCGAGUCUUAACUGGGCGUUAAGUUGCAGGGUAUAGACCCGAAACCCGGUGAUCUAGCCAUGGGCAGGUUGAAGGUUGGGUAACACUAACUGGAGGACCGAACCGACUAAUGUUGAAAAAUUAGCGGAUGACUUGUGGCUGGGGGUGAAAGGCCAAUCAAACCGGGAGAUAGCUGGUUCUCCCCGAAAGCUAUUUAGGUAGCGCCUCGUGAACUCAUCUUCGGGGGUAGAGCACUGUUUCGGCUAGGGGGCCAUCCCGGCUUACCAACCCGAUGCAAACUACGAAUACCGAAGAAUGUUAUCACGGGAGACACACGGCGGGUGCUAACGUCCGUCGUGAAGAGGGAAACAACCCAGACCGCCAGCUAAGGUCCCAAAGUCAUGGUUAAGUGGGAAACGAUGUGGGAAGGCACAGACAGCCAGGAUGUUGGCUUAGAAGCAGCCAUCAUUUAAAGAAAGCGUAAUAGCUCACUGGUCGAGUCGGCCUGCGCGGAAGAUGUAACGGGGCUAAACCAUGCACCGAAGCUGCGGCAGCGACGCUUAUGCGUUGUUGGGUAGGGGAGCGUUCUGUAAGCCGUUGAAGGUGUGCUGUGAGGCAUGCUGGAGGUAUCAGAAGUGCGAAUGCUGACAUAAGUAACGAUAAAGCGGGUGAAAAGCCCGCUCGCCGGAAGACCAAGGGUUCCUGUCCAACGUUAAUCGGGGCAGGGUGAGUCGACCCCUAAGGCGAGGCCGAAAGGCGUAGUCGAUGGGAAACAGGUUAAUAUUCCUGUACUUGGUGUUACUGCGAAGGGGGGACGGAGAAGGCUAUGUUAGCCGGGCGACGGUUGUCCCGGUUUAAGCAUGUAGGCGGAACGAUUAGGUAAAUCCGGUCGUUUUUUAACGCUGAGGUGUGAUGACGAGGCACUACGGUGCUGAAGUAACAAAUGCCCUGCUUCCAGGAAAAGCCUCUAAGCAUCAGGUAACACAAAAUCGUACCCCAAACCGACACAGGUGGUCAGGUAGAGAAUACCAAGGCGCUUGAGAGAACUCGGGUGAAGGAACUAGGCAAAAUGGUGCCGUAACUUCGGGAGAAGGCACGCUGAUAUGUAGGUGAAGCCCCUGCGGGUGGAGCUGAAAUCAGUCGAAGAUACCAGCUGGCUGCAACUGUUUAUUAAAAACACAGCACUGUGCAAACACGAAAGUGGACGUAUACGGUGUGACGCCUGCCCGGUGCCGGAAGGUUAAUUGAUGGGGUUAGCGGCAACGCGAAGCUCUUGAUCGAAGCCCCGGUAAACGGCGGCCGUAACUAUAACGGUCCUAAGGUAGCGAAAUUCCUUGUCGGGUAAGUUCCGACCUGCACGAAUGGCGUAAUGAUGGCCAGGCUGUCUCCACCCGAGACUCAGUGAAAUUGAACUCGCUGUGAAGAUGCAGUGUACCCGCGGCAAGACGGAAAGACCCCGUGAACCUUUACUAUAGCUUGACACUGAACACUGGUCCUUGAUGUGUAGGAUAGGUGGGAGGCUUUGAAGCGUGGACGCCAGUCUGCGUGGAGCCGACCUUGAAAUACCACCCUUUAAUGGCUGGUGUUCUAACGUAGACCCGUGAUCCGGGUUGCGGACAGUGUCUGGUGGGUAGUUUGACUGGGGCGGUCUCCUCCCAAAGAGUAACGGAGGAGCACGAAGGUUAGCUAAUCCUGGUCGGACAUCAGGAGGUUAGUGCAAUGGCAUAAGCUAGCUUGACUGCGAGAGUGACGGCUCGAGCAGGUGCGAAAGCAGGUCAUAGUGAUCCGGUGGUUCUGAAUGGAAGGGCCAUCGCUCAACGGAUAAAAGGUACUCCGGGGAUAACAGGCUGAUACCGCCCAAGAGUUCAUAUCGACGGCGGUGUUUGGCACCUCGAUGUCGGCUCAUCACAUCCUGGGGCUGAAGUAGGUCCCAAGGGUAUGGCUGUUCGCCAUUUAAAGUGGUACGCGAGCUGGGUUUAGAACGUCGUGAGACAGUUCGGUCCCUAUCUGCCGUGGGCGCUGGAGAAUUGAGGGGGGCUGCUCCUAGUACGAGAGGACCGGAGUGGACGCAUCACUGGUGUUCGGGUUGUCAUGCCAAUGGCAUUGCCCGGUAGCUAAAUGCGGAAGAGAUAAGUGCUGAAAGCAUCUAAGCACGAAACUUGCCCCGAGAUGAGUUCUCCCUGACUCCUUGAGAGUCCUGAAGGAACGUUGAAGACGACGACGUUGAUAGGUCGGGUGUGUAAGUGUAGCGAUACAUUGAGCUAACCGAUACUAAUGAACCGUGAGGCUUAACCU
RNAcentral lists this ribosomal RNA (2903 nucleotides) under Enterobacter cloacae. RNAcentral describes it as "23S ribosomal RNA". It matches the Rfam family "Bacterial large subunit ribosomal RNA". The record is from RNAcentral. Lineage: Bacteria; Pseudomonadati; Pseudomonadota; Gammaproteobacteria; Enterobacterales; Enterobacteriaceae.